Molecule: ribosomal RNA, 497 nt
Filed under: uncultured bacterium
Lineage: Bacteria
Description: partial 16S ribosomal RNA
Rfam family: Bacterial small subunit ribosomal RNA
Source: RNAcentral
GAUGAACGCUGGCGGCGUGCCUAAUACAUGCAAGUCGAGCGAACAGACGAGGAGCUUGCUCCUCUGACGUUAGCGGCGGACGGGUGAGUAACACGUGGAUAACCUACCUAUAAGACUGGGAUAACUUCGGGAAACCGGAGCUAAUGCCGGAUAAUAUAUUGAACCGCAUGGUUCAAUAGUGAAAGACGGUUUUGCUGUCACUUAUAGAUGGAUCCGCGCCGCAUUAGCUAGUUGGUAAGGUAACGGCUUACCAAGGCGACGAUGCGUAGCCGACCUGAGAGGGUGAUCGGCCACACUGGAACUGAGACACGGUCCAGACCCCUACGGGAGGCAGCAGUAGGGAAUCUUCCGCAAUGGGCGAAAGCCUGACGGAGCAACGCCGCGUGAGUGAUGAAGGUCUUCGGAUCGUAAAACUCUGUUAUUAGGGAAGAACAAAUGUGUAAGUAACUAUGCACGUCUUGACGGUACCUAAUCAGAAAGCCACGGCUAACUACGUG